UGGCCUUUCAGGUAAAAGAAAAUGCUUGGAGUUAACUCACGGGCCGUAAUGUGGCAGGCACAGCGUGAGGCUGGCUUCACAGAGCAGCGACAACUGCCCACUUCCAACGGUGAAAGGAUAACG
This 123-nucleotide non-coding RNA is filed under the name Triticum aestivum (bread wheat). The record is from RNAcentral. Lineage: Eukaryota; Viridiplantae; Streptophyta; Magnoliopsida; Poales; Poaceae.